AGAGUUUGAUCCUGGCUCAGAACGAACGCUGGCGGCGUGGAUUAGGCAUGCAAGUCGAACGAGGCCGUCGACCUUCGCAAGAAGGACGGCGAGUCGAGUGGCGAAAGGGUGAGUAACGCGUAAGUAACCUGCCCCCAACAGCGGGACAACCUUGAGAAAUCGGGGCUAAUACCGUAUGUGGAUGCCAACCGGCAUCGGUUGGCAUUUAAAGGUUCGCGGAGAUUAUUCGAAGCGGGCCGGUUGGGGAGGGGCUUGCGUCCUAUUAGCUUGUUGGUGAGGUAACGGCUCACCAAGGCGAAGAUGGGUAGCUGGCCUGAGAGGGUGGUCAGCCACACUGGGACUGAGACACUGCCCAGACUCCUACGGGAGGCUGCAGUCGAGAAUCUUCCGCAAUGGGCGAAAGCCUGACGGAGCGACGCCGCGUGGAGGAUGAAGGCCUUCGGGUCGUAAACUCCUUUCAACCGGGAAGAAAACCCGUUUCGCGCGAGCGGAACGGCUUGACGGUACCGGUAGAAGAAGCCCCGGCUAACUUCGUGCCAGCAGCCGCGGUAAAACGGAGGGGGCUAGCGUUGUUCGGAUUUACUGGGCGUAAAGGGCAUGUAGGCGUCCCAAUCAGCUCUGGGUGAAAGUUCCGCGCUCAACGCGGAAAAGAAUCAGAGGACAGUUGGGAUUGAGUUCAGGGGAAGAAAGUGGAAUUCUCGGUGUAGCGGUGAUAUGCGUAGAUAUCGAGAAGAACACCAACGGCGAAGGCAGCUUUCUAUCCUGAAACUGACGCUGAAAUGCGAAAGCGUGGGGAGCGAACGGGAUUAGAUACCCCGGUAGUCCACGCUGUAAACGAUGGGCACUUGGUGUAUCCUGCUUGCAGGGUGUGCCGUAGCUAACGUGUUAAGUGCCCCGCCUGGGGAGUACGACCGCAAGGUUAAAACUCAAAGGAAUUGACGGGGGCCCGCACAAGCGGUGGAGCAUGUGGUUUAAUACGACGCAACGCGUAGAACCUUACCAGGGCUUGAC
RNAcentral lists this ribosomal RNA (1011 nucleotides) under PVC group bacterium. Its description in RNAcentral is "bacterial SSU rRNA". It matches the Rfam family "Bacterial small subunit ribosomal RNA", at positions 8 to 985 of the family's 1533-position model. Lineage: Bacteria; Pseudomonadati. The record is from RNAcentral.